GUUGUGUAUUUUGUUGUAAGUGUUAUCAUUUGUUGUUUGUUAAUAUUUCGUUUUUAGUUGAAGAUUUAAGUUUUCAAAAAGUUUGCAAAAUCGUUGUUUAGAAUUUCUUUUAUUCAUUAAGCAACGGUCAGAAUUUCUUGUUUCCCUUGUGAAAAGAGACUCUGUGAAACUCUCACUUAGUCCUCGGUUGCCAAUGUUUCGUUCACAAGACCUUCAUUCCCGUACAUCCUUACUCCUUUGUUUUGUACUCAACUAUCUCAACCGUCUCCAUUUGGUUCAUUCAUCAGAACAUCACAGCCAAUGAUCAUCUGCACCGACUGGCCACCUCCAUUCAUCGGUGGAUGGCAUAUCUAAAUUGAAUUUAUAAUAGUUGACAAGACAAGACCUCGCCACUGAAUCCAGCCACCGAUGCUGCCGGCCAUCCACCUCAGUCGGUAGGUCGGUCGGAUAGUCAACCAAUUCAGAGCAAUUCUCAUUCAUUUACUUCAAUCACUUCUCACAUUUUUUUCCCAAAAGAGGGGGACGGACUCGGACCGAGAGACUGGACUGAAAUGGACUGAGAAGAGUGAACGGGAGGAAAAAUGUGGCGAAAAUUAAUUAAAAAUCAAUUUGAUUUUGAUUGUUGACCGGCUCUCAACCUCUCGACCACUCCCACUGCCGUCUAUCUCUCUCCAUCCAGUGGUAACCCAUCUAUUUGUUCUCUUUUUCGCUCCUCUCCUUCUCGUCUCGAAUGUUUAAUUGACGUUUGGUACAAUGUUUGACAUUUUUGCUCCACGAAUUGUCGUUUUUUUGUGCCUGUUUCCGUUUUGUGCUCUGUUUCCCCACUCGCUUUCAAUCUUUUUUAUGAUUUUUUCAAUUAUGCAUUUUGUUGUCAAUUUUUUUGGGCCCCCAGGAUCAGAGCCAUGUUGCUGUUUUUGUUGUUGUUUGUACACUGUACAGAGGCACACAGACACAAACAGCAAACGGAAAACAAAUCAAAAUAAAAGAACACUUUUAAUUGAAUUAUUGCGCAAGGAAAAUAAAUAAAUAAGUGGAGACAAGGAGCCAGGGAGAGAGAGGGGGCUAUGAAGACUACCAUUUAAAUUCGCACAUUUAUUUAUCGAUAAUUAAAUUCGAUUCAAAUACUCGUUCAAUGUUCAGAUAAAAACGUACAUUCUAUUUAAAACAUAAUAAUUGUGUGUACAACGAAGAACAUGAUGUGAAAUGUAUCCUGCCAACGAAAAUGAAAUUAGUUUAAAUUAAUUAAAUGUAAAUCUUUUUUCACCUGCCUCGCAUUCGAGGGCAGCCUUCCAUCUAACAGAUAUUUUCAAUGCCAGGUCGGCAGGCAGACCAGGCAGCAAAUGCAAUUUUGAUGGCUCCAAACACGUAGAACACAAAAAACUCGGGGCCAGAAAAGUAAACAAAAACAACACAAGCAGAAAAACCAACAGCAAAUAUUUCAUGGAUAUUUGGCUCAAACUGGAAAGCAGCCAACACAACGACGAGUGCCUGACACUGCAAAUGAAAUGAAUGUCAAAGCUGAGUGCGCAGCCCAUAGACGAAUAAACAAAUACUUUAGGAAAUCUAUAGGUAAAUAAACCUAUCUACAUACAUAUAUGAAGCUCAUCAAAAUAGCCAUUUUUCAGUGGUUAAACUAAAUUUGUAAUACUUCUGGUAAUGAUCUAGAAAAAAAUCAUCUGAGGCUGAUCCCUAAAUAACGAUAGCCGCAUGAGCUAAGGUGCAGCACAACAGCACAACAGCAGCACAACAGCACAGCAAAAAAAUGACAAUUGGCACAUGAAGCUGUUUAAAAACAAAACAGAAAUGAAGCAAAUAAAAAGAAACAACAAAAUGGCACCCGCAAAAGUAUUUAAAUAAAGCGAAUUUAAAUCGCAACAAUGCGAUUGAACAUGAAACAAAAAAGAUAAUAAAAGAUAAUGCAGCUGUCGCACC
Molecule: long non-coding RNA, 1932 nt
Filed under: Drosophila guanche
Lineage: Eukaryota; Metazoa; Arthropoda; Insecta; Diptera; Drosophilidae
Source: RNAcentral